Molecule: long non-coding RNA, 493 nt
Filed under: Equus caballus (horse)
Lineage: Eukaryota; Metazoa; Chordata; Mammalia; Perissodactyla; Equidae
Description: lncRNA (ENSECAG00000047349.1)
Source: RNAcentral
UGACAUUUCAAUCAGCUGCUCCAAAAGAUCUAUUCUUCUGCUUCCUGAUCUCCCAUCAACUGUGUAGCAAAGGUUCUUCUCAUUGGCUCACUGUGAUGGAAAGCACCACAAGGCAAGGAAUUGAGGGCAGCCUCUAGCCAACAUCCAGUGAGGAACUGAGCCCUCAGCCCACAGAGAACUGAAUCUUGUCAAGACCACUGAGCUAGGAAAUGGACUUGAUGCUUGGAGGUGCAGAAGCCAUCCAGAGACCAUGAGGAGGGAAUCCGCACACUACGGAUGAGAGAGUGGGAAGAUGGAAGAAACGAUUUGCAUCACCCAUUCGAGGAUUCUCCAAACUAGGAUCAAUCUACAUUUCUUCUGACUUUACAAAGCAGCUGGACAAGCCAUAAACCAUACUCCCAUCGUCCAAGAAAGGCAAAGUUACAACCAAUUGGACACCAGCUGACCAAUGGAGGAUUCCCUACAAGGCACAACAGGACAUGUAAGAGAUCCA